Molecule: long non-coding RNA, 291 nt
Organism: Ostrea edulis (European flat oyster)
Lineage: Eukaryota; Metazoa; Mollusca; Bivalvia; Ostreida; Ostreidae
Exons: 2
Source: RefSeq, a predicted model, not a curated record
GUUUGCGUGAUGUCAACUUGGUUUACGGCGAACAUGUAAGAUGUCCAGGAUCCUAUCUACUCCCGGGUUGGCGAAAAAACGGGGAAAACAAUGCAGUUUAUUUGAAGAUAAUGGGCCUACUGCUUGGUGGUUUAUUGGAUUGUGAAAAGUGACACUGGAUUAACGAAUUACCAGAGCAAUCCAUUCCAGGGCAGAUUAUGAAAGCUGCUUUGCUCUUGUUGAUUUUAAUAUCUUAUGAUAUACAAAUACAGAUUAAGUAUUAAAAAUAAAAUAAAAGUCUUCAACACCAUG